This is a long non-coding RNA of Helicoverpa armigera (cotton bollworm), 1191 nucleotides long. RefSeq lists it as uncharacterized. Lineage: Eukaryota; Metazoa; Arthropoda; Insecta; Lepidoptera; Noctuidae. The transcript has 3 exons. The record is from RefSeq and is a predicted model, not a curated record.
AUUCAGUAACUGGAUCUUUUUAUUGGCACAGAUUCAAUGUCAUAGUUGUACUUCUUGCUACACAAUAUAGUGUGGUCGCUAUCUUCAGUUUUUUAACAUCUGAUAAACAUCUAAUAAAGUUUUAUACAAGCAUUAAAACAAGCGAUGCUAUCAUGGGCUUUAAGAAUUUGCCGUACGUUAGUAAAGCUGUGUUGGUACCCAUUUACAUUACAGUCCUUCUAUGGAUGUUCACAGUUUAUUACUGCUUUAUAGGCCCUAUAUAUCUUCCAACAUAUAUUAUGGCCAUGUGCUCAGAUUUAAAUUCUUUAACAGUUAGCUUGCUUCUAUGUGGAUUUUUUUCUCGAAUGCGUGUCAUUCAAAACACCUUAGAAAACAAUUUCGUUCCUGUCAAUAUUGUUGGCAAAGAUCAGCUUCAGAAAAACGUAAAGAUUGUCAGAAAAUGCGUCGGUUACUAUAGCAAUCUGUUAGAUAGCUUCGACGCUAUUCAUACACAGUUCCAAUUUACGGUGAGUGUUUUUAUCAGUUAUGCUAGUUGUAACUUAUUUCAACUUUAUCUUGACCCGAAAUUUCUUCCGACCGUAAUAACGGUUGGAGGUUUAUCAUUGUACCUAUGUGACGGGUUUGAUUUAAAAAUAAUAAGCCGCGAUUUAAGUAUUGGCACUUGUGUAAAUCAGCCAGAUAUUUAGUAAGAAUUAUGUUUUCAGUUAGCAGUAUCGCUGGUCUGCCGCUUCCCGUCCUGGGUGAUUCGAUUUUAUGAUUCAGUUCAGCAGUAUUUGCAAACUCAGAGUGUCCCAAUUGAUAUCGUAACGGUGGCACUAGUUACGAUGAUGUCUUUAUUUGUGACAACUUCACCAGCUUUCGUCUCAGAAUUGAUCAGUAACGAAAUAGACGCAAUCAAGGCGACGCUUGUUACUCAGUUGGUUCGCUGCUCAGAUCCGUCUCUCUCGUCUGAGCUGGAGGUUGCUCUGCAUUACAUCCACAUUCGGCCGUUCAAGUUCGUGAUCUGCAGAGCCGUGCCCGUCGAUAUCAACAUGCCGAUUACUAUAAUCAGCUUCAGCGUCACCUACGUCAUUGUCAUCAUGCAGUUUAUUCACUUCAGCGACUUGUAAACGGAUAUUUACUCUUUUAUUGUCAUAAUCUGCAUUUCAGUCUUUUUCUGCUAAGCACGUUAAUUCAUGUAGUCAGUCAUUG